Non-coding RNA from Candidatus Nomurabacteria bacterium, 71 nucleotides. NCBI's taxonomy places the organism in Bacteria, Candidatus Nomuraibacteriota. The record is from Rfam.
UGGGGGAUCGUCUAACGGUAGGACUUGGGAUUUUGGAUCCCACUAUUUAGGUUCGAAUCCUAAUCCCCCAG